AGCCUUUGCGAGCCCUCUUAUAUAAAGUCCGGGCUCCCUCUGGCUCUCUCUUGGUCCUCUGUAGUCUGAAAGGUACAUCAUGAGAUUGCUGGUGUUGGACGCCUUACCUUUCCCAACCGGUUUGGGGAUGGUGAAGGAGACUACAGCAGGCCUCAAGAUACGCUUCCACUUGCUGGUCACUCCAUGGACACAGAAAAACAGGUGGUCCUGAUGAAGUGAGAGCUGUUGGUUGAAAUGCUGGAUCGGCCUUAAUAGAUGCUGCUGCUGCAGUUGGGUGACCUUCGUGUAAAGAUGCUGCUGCACUUCCCAGCUAAUCGGAGGGAUGGGCUGCUGGAAUUUCCAUGUUUGAUGACUUGGUGAGAUUGGGACAGCUCCAGAAUCUUCACACACGGUUGGCAUCUCAUGGUGAAGAGGUCGAGAUGAAGACCUGGUAAAGCUUCAGUUUGGGUCUGAUGUCUUUCCCGUGCUGUGCUCUCUGUGUCUACAGCUCUUGUGCUGGCACUGGUGUCCUGGAAGUUGUGACUGAAAAUAAAGAUGAAGUGAAUAAGUCC
Molecule: long non-coding RNA, 551 nt
Organism: Salarias fasciatus (jewelled blenny)
Lineage: Eukaryota; Metazoa; Chordata; Actinopteri; Blenniiformes; Blenniidae
Exons: 10
Source: RefSeq, a predicted model, not a curated record